UGCGGGAUGGUGUAACGGUAGCACGCGUGAUUCUGGAUCAUGUAGUCUAGGUUCGAAUCCUAGUCCCGCAGCCA
RNAcentral lists this transfer RNA (74 nucleotides) under Bacillota bacterium. RNAcentral's name for it is "tRNA-Gln". It matches the Rfam family "tRNA". Rfam says of the family: Transfer RNA (tRNA) molecules are approximately 80 nucleotides in length. Their secondary structure includes four short double-helical elements and three loops (D, anti-codon, and T loops). Further hydrogen bonds mediate the characteristic L-shaped molecular structure. tRNAs have two regions of fundamental functional importance: the anti-codon, which is responsible for specific mRNA codon recognition, and the 3' end, to which the tRNAs corresponding amino acid is attached (by aminoacyl-tRNA synthetases). tRNAs cope with the degeneracy of the genetic code in two manners: having more than one tRNA (with a specific anti-codon) for a particular amino acid; and 'wobble' base-pairing, i.e. permitting non-standard base-pairing at the 3rd anti-codon position. RNAcentral also lists the same sequence under 3 other names. The record is from RNAcentral. Lineage: Bacteria; Bacillati; Bacillota.